GUCUUAUUGGUAAAUAAUUUUAAGUCUUGCCUGCCCCCUGUUUAGAUAAAUGGCCGCAGUAUUUUGACUGUGCUAAGGUAGCAUAAUCAUUAGUUUUUUAAUUGAAAGCUUGAAUGAAUGGUAAUAUGAAAAAAUCACUGUCUCUUUUAUAAAAUUAAAAUUUUAUUUUUAAGUAAAAAAGCUUAAAUUUAGUUAAAAGACGAGAAGACCCUUUAGAAUUUUAUUUAAAUUAAUUUUUAAUUUAUUAGUAAUUAAAAUUUAUUGAUUAGUUUAUAUUUAAUUGGGGUGAUUAGAAAAUUUAAGAAUCUUUUUUUUAUGCUACCAUUGAUUUAUGAUUAUAUGAUUCAUUUUAAUGAUUAAAGAAUAAAUUACCUUAGGGAUAACAGCGUAAUUUUUUUUAAAAGUUCAAAUUAAAAAAAAAGAUUGCGACCUCGAUGUUGGAUUAAAAU
This 449-nucleotide ribosomal RNA is filed under the name Donacia vulgaris. RNAcentral describes it as "partial 16S ribosomal RNA". The record is from RNAcentral. Lineage: Eukaryota; Metazoa; Arthropoda; Insecta; Coleoptera; Chrysomelidae.